RNAcentral lists this ribosomal RNA (465 nucleotides) under Vreelandella stevensii. RNAcentral describes it as "partial 16S ribosomal RNA". It matches the Rfam family "Bacterial small subunit ribosomal RNA", at positions 338 to 795 of the family's 1533-position model. The record is from RNAcentral. Lineage: Bacteria; Pseudomonadati; Pseudomonadota; Gammaproteobacteria; Oceanospirillales; Halomonadaceae.
CCUACGGGGGGCAUCAGUGGGGAAUAUUGGACAAUGGGGGGAACCCUGAUCCAGCCAUGCCGCGUGUGUGAAGAAGGCCCUCGGGUUGUAAAGCACUUUCAGUGAGGAAGAACGCCUGGUGGUUAAUACCCAUCAGGAAAGACAUCACUCACAGAAGAAGCACCGGCUAACUCCGUGCCAGCAGCCGCGGUAAUACGGAGGGUGCGAGCGUUAAUCGGAAUUACUGGGCGUAAAGCGCGCGUAGGUGGCUUGAUAAGCCGGUUGUGAAAGCCCCGGGCUCAACCUGGGAACGGCAUCCGGAACUGUCAAGCUAGAGUGCAGGAGAGGAAGGUAGAAUUCCCGGUGUAGCGGUGAAAUGCGUAGAGAUCGGGAGGAAUACCAGUGGCGAAGGCGGCCUUCUGGACUGACACUGACACUGAGGUGCGAAAGCGUGGGUAGCAAACAGGAUUAGAUACCCUGGUAGUC